This 497-nucleotide ribosomal RNA is filed under the name uncultured bacterium. RNAcentral describes it as "partial 16S ribosomal RNA". It matches the Rfam family "Bacterial small subunit ribosomal RNA", at positions 28 to 507 of the family's 1533-position model. The record is from RNAcentral.
GAUGAACGCUGGCGGCGUGCCUAAUACAUGCAAGUCGAGCGAACAGACGAGGAACUUGCUCCUCUGACGUUAGCGGCGGACGGGUGAGUAACACGUGGAGAACCUACCUAUAAGACUGGGAUAACUUCGGGAAACCGGAGCUAAUACCGGAUAAUAUAUUUAACCGCAUGGUUCAAUAGUGAAAGACGGUUUUGCUGUCACUUAUAGAUGGAUCCGCGCCGCAUUAGCUAGUUGGUAAGGUAACGGCUUACCAAGGCAACGAUGCGUAGCCGACCUGAGAGGGUGAUCGGCCACACUGGAACUGAGACACGGUCCAGACUCCUAGGGGAGGCAGAAUUAGGGAAUCUUCCGCAAUGAGCGAAAGCUUGACGGAGAAACGCCGCGUGAGUGAUGAAGGUCUUCGGAUCGUAAAACUCGGUUAUUAGGGAAGAACAAAUGUGUAAGUAACUACGCACGUCUUGACGGUACCUAAUCAGAAAGCCACGGCUAACUACGUG